UCAUUGCAAACUUUACUUGCUCCGCCAUUUCCCUUACCAGGUGUAUUUAACCGAAAACUACUCGACGACGACGCUCCCGAGUGAACAAAAGAACACACAGUCGACCCUGCUUGAGACUUCUUUUGCGGCCUAUACAAAAAUUCAGAUAAUGGUUUAGACAAUCUGCGAAACAAACUCGCCAUAACUGCCAGAUAAAGAUGCAACGGUUCGUCUUCCCCUUGAGUACGCAGACGAAUAUCACCUGACAAUUUAAAAUCAUAGUCUGGAUCUAGAAAAUCACUCAAAAGCAACGCAGUCAACUCCUGCCAAGAUGACACCUUGGAUCUAUUUGCACGAAACCAAAGCAAUGCCUGAUCCGAAAAUAACCUAGCUGCAGAGUUAAAAAGCUUGGAAUAUGAAACGCCAUCAGCUUGCCGGAGAUCCUCAACCUGUUCUAGAAACGUCUUCGGGUCAGUGUACCCAUUGAACUUAAUGUUCCACUUCAAAAUACAUUUGUGACCACUAAUGGACUCUGAAAAAGUCUGUUCUUCCUGCUGAACAGAAUCAACAGAAGAUCCUGCACCUGCUGCCUUCAACAAAGAAGAAACUUUGCCAACAUUUUCAAGCUUUGACAAGAAACCAUCAAGAGUUUGUCUACUUGUGCUAAUUAGUGACUGUGUACUAACAUCUUCAGGCUGGAGCCUAGAAAUUCUGUGAAAUAAGUGAUAAGCCAGUGCUUUAGCCUUAAUAAAUGUGUAAUUUUCCUGA
This is a long non-coding RNA of Leguminivora glycinivorella, 747 nucleotides long. RefSeq lists it as uncharacterized. The record is from RefSeq and is a predicted model, not a curated record. Lineage: Eukaryota; Metazoa; Arthropoda; Insecta; Lepidoptera; Tortricidae. The transcript is spliced from 2 exons.